CCUACGGGCGGCAGCAGUGAGGAAUAUUGGUCAAUGGGCGCGAGCCUGAACCAGCCAAGUCGCGUGAGGGAAGACGGUCCUAUGGAUUGUAAACCUCUUUUGUCGGGGAGCAAAAGACGCCACGUGUGGCGUUCCGAGAGUACCCGAAGAAAAAGCAUCGGCUAACUCCGUGCCAGCAGCCGCGGUAAUACGGAGGAUGCGAGCGUUAUCCGGAUUUAUUGGGUUUAAAGGGUGCGCAGGCGGAAGAUCAAGUCAGCGGUAAAAUUGAGAGGCUCAACCUCUUCGAGCCGUUGAAACUGGUUUUCUUGAGUACAGUUGAGGUAGGCGGAAUUCGUGGUGUAGCGGUGAAAUGCUUAGAUAUCACGAAGAACCCCGAUUGCGAAGGCAGCUUACUAAACUGUGACUGACAUUGAUGCUCGAAAGUGUGGGUAUCAAACAGGAUUAGAUACCCCGGUAGUC
Molecule: ribosomal RNA, 459 nt
Filed under: uncultured bacterium
Lineage: Bacteria
Description: partial 16S ribosomal RNA
Rfam family: Bacterial small subunit ribosomal RNA
Source: RNAcentral